This 422-nucleotide ribosomal RNA is filed under the name uncultured bacterium. Its description in RNAcentral is "bacterial SSU rRNA". It matches the Rfam family "Bacterial small subunit ribosomal RNA", at positions 355 to 774 of the family's 1533-position model. The record is from RNAcentral.
UGAGGAAUAUUGGUCAAUGGACGAGAGUCUGAACCAGCCAUGCCGCGUGAAGGAUGAAGGCGUUCUGCGUUGUAAACUUCUUUUGCGGGGGAAGAAACCUUGAUAUUCUUAUCAAGCCGACGGUACCCCGAGAAUAAGCACCGGCUAACUCCGUGCCAGCAGCCGCGGUAAUACGGAGGGUGCAAGCGUUAUCCGGAUUUACUGGGUUUAAAGGGUGUGUAGGCGGAUUAUUAAGUCAGCGGUGAAAUCUCCAGGCUCAACCUGGAAACUGCCAUUGAUACUAUUAGUCUUGAAUAUUGUUGAGGUGGGCGGAACGGGUCAUGUAGCGGUGAAAUGCAUAGAUAUGACCCGGAACACCGAUUGCGAAGGCAAUCCCCUGGGCCUGCACUGACGCUCAUGCACGAAAGCGUGGGGAGCAAACC